Long non-coding RNA from Arachis duranensis, 1414 nucleotides. RefSeq lists it as uncharacterized. The transcript is spliced from 3 exons. The record is from RefSeq and is a predicted model, not a curated record. NCBI's taxonomy places the organism in Eukaryota, Viridiplantae, Streptophyta, Magnoliopsida, Fabales, Fabaceae.
GCGUUCAACCUCACGUAGUCACGCAAACUCACUUCCAUCGUCACAGAAAUUUCCUACUUUGCCACCAAUGGAGUCGCUUCACCCUUUGCACUGUGUUCCUUUAGUUUUGUGAUUGGAAGGACAAGAAUUGAUGUAAGGAGUAAAUCAGUUAAAUGUGAUUCACUAUCAUCAUUUGGCAUUUGAUUUAUGCGGUAGUGUUAUUCAUGAGCAAUAGAAUUUUUUAAUUUUUCAUACAAUAGCUAGGCCUGUUGAACAUCCUCUGAGAUCCCUAUGAUAGAUCUAACACCGGACAGACAACAGGUGGAGAUAAUAAAGUAUUCCUACAUCCUCAAGCAAUUCUCGAAAAUCCUUUCUGCGGUGGUCUUGGUAAGUGCUUUUAUAUGACUUAUAUAUCUAAAAAAUCUAUCGACAAUGGCAUGUUGACUGAAUUUGUUUGUUAAGUAUGUGAUUUUGUUUGAUUGUGUAUGCUGAUUUUUUUGUUAUUCUUUUUAAUCUAAAUCUGCUUCAUUUUUAUAAUUAUUGUUUGUAUCUAAAUGUCGCUUGGCUAAUUCUUUUUCCUACAUUGUCCAAAUUCUUCCCUUUUACCAUUGCUAUCCUAGCUAUAGAACUUAGCUCAUUGGUCCAUUAAUGAAAGUUGUUGUGGCCUUUUUCCUCAGUUUUUUAAAAUUUAAACAUGAUUUUUAACUUGCUAUUCAAAUUUCUGAUUUUUCCCAUAAGUAAUGCUCAACUAUCCUCAUUCUUCUCAUAUACUUUUUUCUGUUAUUUUUAUUUUGCUUCCGAGCUAUAUAAUUUCAAUAGCAUUACUCUCCCUUCAUCUUGCAUACAGAUUUAUUGAUCUGUGUAUGGAAAUUGUCGUCUUCAUUUUCAUCGAUUGUGGUCUAUAGUCAGGUUUAGCUUAUUAUUUAAUGCCUCGCUGAUGGAUAGGAUUUGAUAAUUGAUGACAAUUUUUUUUGCUAUAUUAAAGUCUUAGACCACUCUUCAUUAAGACUUUUUACUUACUUUUUCGAUUAAUUACAACUUAUAUUACUAAUCAUAUCCAUGUACUACACAUUGAACUUGAUUUGUCCGUGCAUAAUAUGUUCAUAUUGAAAUGAUCUCACAAGGCAUACUUUUUCACUUUGCUCCUCCUGAUUUUAUUAUUGACUUUGAUUUUUUAUUAUAGAUUUGUAUCUUCGGUAUGAAAAAGCCUGUUGUAACUGUGUCUAUGUUUUUUAAGCAUUUUAAUAUGCAUUUAUGAGAACAUAUAUCUCUGUUUAUUUAUGAAUUCUAUGGACCAUUAGUGGAUUUUACCUGCUAUAAAGAUAUAUAUGAUAGACUUUUCUAUUUUCUUGCACAUGCUAUUAACUUAGAAAUAUAAUGGCACUUGAAUAUGGUCAUGUCUCAAACUUACUUCAAAAUAAAAAGUUGUUCUGGA